UAUUUUUAUUAUAAGGAUGAAACGAUUGGCUGAAUUGUGAUGACCCCUCCUCUUUCAGAGUUUCUCUUCCUCAAGUUGUCUUUAUGAGUCUCAUGCGAUCGUCUCUUAUUCUCUUCAUCUCUCCACUAAACUCAAACUGCUCAUCAUACAGACAAGAUGCUGAUCAUAUUCUACACUCUCCUCACUGUUCUGUCGUCAUUAUUCUACAGCACUGCUCAUCUUUACACUCAACACACACCAAAUCACAAGAUGAUGACAAUAUUCUGCACUUUCUGCACUCUUCUCACCUGUGUCAGUGGUGUGACUGUAGUGACUCAGAAUCCUUCAGUUCUCACAGUGAAUAAAGGACAGAAAGUCACUCUCAACUGUAAUAUGGGGACAGUUAUAAAUUCUGCUAGAUGGUAUAAACAGACUCCAGGAGGAGUUCCUCAGUAUGUGUUAAACUUUCAACAUGACUGGAGAGUUUCUCUUCCUCAAGUUGUCUUUAUGAGUCUCAUGCGAUCGUCUCUUAUUCUCUUCAUCUCUCCACUAAACUCAAACUGCUCAUCAUACAGACAAGAUGCUGAUCAUAUUCUACACUCUCCUCACUGUUCUGUCGUCAUUAUUCUACAGCACUGCUCAUCUUUACACUCAACACACACCAAAUCACAAGAUGAUGACAAUAUUCUGCACUUUCUGCACUCUUCUCACCUGUGUCAGUGGUGUGACUGUAGUGACUCAGAAUCCUCCAGUUCUCACAGUGAAUAAAGGACAGAAAGUCACUCUCAACUGUAAUCUGGGAAUAAGUACUGACUCUAUUAAAUGGUAUAAACAAACUCCAGGAGGAAUUGCUCACCACAUUCUAACUCUGAAGUAUGACUGGAGCGAGCAUUGAUUUCUCGUUUGGAAGGAUGCGUCCUCCGGAGGUCACAUUUGUCGGCCGCACACGUCAUCGAAGCUGUCUCGUUUCAGAAAAGCGAGUAGGACACUUUGAAUGCGACCUUCUUUCACGGGAAUUCGGAGGAUGCAUGAGGUGUAUCCUUCGUGGGCACUCACAACCCACAAUUCUUUGCUUCAACGGAAAUGUCGAAAAAAAAUUAUGCCAAUUUGCCCUUAAAUAUGAUGUUCAAAUGCAAGUAAUGUUAAUUCCUAAGUUGAAGUACCUCAGUAGAUGUGUGCAGAGUAUAUAAUAUGUAUAAUUAUAUUAAUAUAUAAUUAAAAUAAAGUAUUAGACUAAAAGUAUACCUGUGAAAUCUAUUUUCUUUUCUCUUUACAUCAUUAUAAGUCUCCUAAAAUGUACCUCAUACAUUCCCUUCUAAAGGGACUUUGUUCCCUUCUCACUCGAAGCGCUCGCGCUUGUUAAAGAGUGGCGUGCUGUCAUAGCAACCAUGUUACGUUCCGUUCCCGUUUGUCCUAUGAAGGCUGUCUUGUUUAAACGAGACUUGUUUAAAGGAGGACACUCGGUAUACCGCAGCCUUCAAAGGAUGUGUCCUACCUAGCAUACAGCCUUCCAAACGAGACACAGCCUUAGUAUAUCUGUGUUUGACUUAAGCAUUAUUAUAUAAUUAUCAAAUGAAGUGUAGCCUUUAAAUUUAAACUCAUAAUGUGUUAAUUAACCAACAGGCUGUAAAUGUUUAAAAAAUAUAUUUUCUGAGUGUUAUUAAAAUAAUACCAACUAAGUCCAAAUGUAUAGAAUAUUGUUUUUAUGUCUUUUAUUGUUUUGGGGGGGGGGGGGGGGGGGUUUGAAACAAGCUGCUAUGAUUGUGUUACAUUGACAUGAUAUGAUUGUUUCAUUUUGAGUCUUGGUAUUUCAGUUAAAAAUCUUUGGGAUUUUGAAUGACAGCUGUUUUUGUUUUCUUUAUCUAACAGAGCACUUACAGUGAUGAGUUUUCACAUUCAUUGAAUCAUUAUUUUAAUUUAAUUUUAUGUUUUAUUUAUAACAGAAAAUAUGUAUUUUGUGCCAGAAACCACAUUGUCACCGAAAUCGUCUACAGAUGAUCUAACAGUGAUUUAACAGUAUAAUAUCCCUGUUCAUCUCUUCUAACUCAGGAUACACCAUCUUCAACACCCCGUUCUUUAUUUAGCUGUAUGUAAAUUAUUUUUCUCUGUUCUCACUUAGAAUGGAAAGACACAAACUCAGUCUGUUAAGAAACAGAUUGUUACUAUCUUCCCUUGAAUGGCAACCAUACAAUGCAGUGAUUGUUGCUGAGUAGAAUGACUAAUUGAUACUCACAAUAACAGAUGUGCAAUCUAAGUAGUAUUUUGGCCAAAUGGGCCCCAUACAGUCUCCCAACUCUCGUACAGUUAAGCUGUUCUUCUGAAAUGUGAUAUCUGUGAUGUUGAUGCCGACCUAAAUAAAUGAUAUUUCAAACAUACUAUUAACAAACAUCUUUACAACAAGGCACAGCAUGAGGGUCAUUCUACAUAACAGGUGCGAUUUGUGCUCCUUAUAUACAGUACAUAUGUGUUAAAAAAGACUUCAUGAAUAUCUGUUGCCAGAUUUUACUUUGUUGUUAUAGAUAUUCUUCUAAUCACAACAUAAAAAAAAUCAAGUAACCAUUUUAAUUGUACAUGGGUUUUUUUCUUGUAUAUUUUGUUAAAAACAAUAUAUAUAUAUUGUAAUAAAAGCUAU
Molecule: RNA transcript, 2611 nt
Organism: Myxocyprinus asiaticus (Chinese sucker)
Lineage: Eukaryota; Metazoa; Chordata; Actinopteri; Cypriniformes; Catostomidae
Gene name: immunoglobulin kappa light chain-like
Exons: 7
Source: RefSeq, a predicted model, not a curated record